AUGAAUCAAUCCCAAAAUAUAAGCCAACAAGCAGGCCAAGCCACUGGUCAAGCUCAGGAAAAGGGAAGCAAUAUGAUGGACAAGGCAAGCAAUGUUGCUCAAUCUACCAAAGAAUAUUGCCAAGAGGCUGGUCAACUAAUGAAAGAAAAGGCACAAGAGGCUGCGGAUGCUGCAAGAAGCACAUAUGAUGCUAAAAAAUAA
Molecule: non-coding RNA, 201 nt
Organism: Vicia faba (fava bean)
Lineage: Eukaryota; Viridiplantae; Streptophyta; Magnoliopsida; Fabales; Fabaceae
Source: the annotation of a GenBank genome assembly